CCGGUCUCGCGUGGUAGUCGUCCGGCGGUAGGACGGCGCCACGGCCGCGUCCGGCUCCGUUUCGGCGCGACCCCCGCGCGACGAUGAAGAACCGGUUCACCGCAAGAUAAGGGUUUAAUUUCAAUUAUUACAUUUGUUUUUUUUUCAUUCCGUUCCACGACUGACCCAGGAGACGUGCAAAACGAGGGUGUUAGAAAACCGUCACAACUCGACCCGAUAAAUCACCACCAGAUGGCACUACCGACUGUGUGUGGUUUUUCACAAGUUAAACAUAUAAACAUGAAACUGGAUAAGAUAUUACCAAGUAGAGAUAAGGAUGAAUAUGAACUUGAAAUUUAGCAAAAUAGCACUUUCAUUAUCUAUUAUAGUGAGUUUGCGUGGCUUUCAGAAGCAACAGCUUGCGAAAUGUUCUUGUGUAUACACAUACACAUAUAUACAUAUAUAUUAUGUAUAAUACAGAACUAAUAUUGUCAUGGGCCCGUGGAAUUGAAUUAAAACCGUCGAAAAGCAGUCGAACCGUUUAUAAUUUAUUCCGUAACACACAGCGCCGGAUACAUUCUGCCGUUUUCUUCAUACAUAUUCAUGCGGGCGCGGAGGAAACAGGUGAAGGUCUCACACACCGCCCAGGCCACAUGGCGCAAACGACACCCGGCAGCAGCGACAGCCGUAGUGGCAACUGAAACGGUUCUACCAUAGAAUGUUUAGAUAAGGAGUGAGUAGGGGUCUAUGCCACCAAGAGUUAAGACGACAAUAUUAAUACAUAAUAUCAUAUUGUUUUCCUAUCCAAAAAUAGUAUUAUAUAUUGUAAAAUACCGAAAUCUGUAAAAAUCAGAAAUGGUUCCUUCUACAUAGUAAUUUUUAAAAUAUAACUAUGUAUGAAUAUAAACUGAAAAGCACGUUUUCACGUUCAAUUCUGUUCAAAAUUUGAUGAAAAUAUCCUAAUAAUAUAGGUACAAUAUAUUAAUAUAUAAUACACUAACGAAUUGUUAUAGUAUAAUCUUAUAAGACUCCUUUAAGAAAAACUUGAUUUAAUUUUAUAUAUUAACUGUAACUAAAGUACAUUAGAUACAUUUCUGAUUAUAUUCCGUAACUCUGUAAGGUAUGCAAAAGCAUAACAAAGAAAUCGUCCUACGUAGUUUGGGAUGAACACGCGAAGGUAUAGUCGAGGUUGGGUCGAGGAUGAAAAAACACAUAUCACAAGUCACGCAAACACGACACACACAUAUAUAUCGGAUGCUGAAAACAUAAAUUAUGUAUGUGUCCGGUAUAGACGGCCGGUACGCGGAAAUUACGACGGUAUAGUGGUGAAAGGAAGAUAUAGGUGACAAAAAUAAGAAUACUUUAGGUACUUUUCAGUUUUUGCCACGUAAAUCCAAUACGAGUGGAAAGGUGGAAUAUACUAUUUCUUAUGCCCUCCUGUAUGUCUUGGGCAUAUAUACCUUCCUAAAAGUUCUAUAUAGAAAUGUAUCCGUUUUCUAUACCGAUUUCGUGAAAAACUUUUAUAAACAGGUUGAUACUUAUACUUGUUAGAUAGUACCUAAAGCUAUAGUUUUUACUUUGAAAAAUAAAUUUGAAAACGAAACAACAACUGAGCGAGUUCUAAGUGAUUUUCUUUUUAUAUACCAACGUUAACACUAUAAAUAUACUUUAGUUAUUAAAAUGUCAUCUUUUAAAAUUCUUGUGUACACCUUUCUACUAUUUAUAAAUCGAACUAUACUUAUUAAUAUAAUUUAAUUUAUUAAUGUGUAUAAUGUAUAUAUACAUAUACAGUUUGGUCUAAUAAGACUUUUUAUAUAUAAUUACUGGUAAUUAAUAAUUUAAUAAAUUCUCCUAUAAAUAG
Molecule: long non-coding RNA, 1840 nt
Organism: Rhopalosiphum padi (bird cherry-oat aphid)
Lineage: Eukaryota; Metazoa; Arthropoda; Insecta; Hemiptera; Aphididae
Exons: 3
Source: RefSeq, a predicted model, not a curated record